GACGAACGCUGGCGGCGUGCUUAACACAUGCAAGUCGAACGAAGUGGCGAACGGGUGAGUAACGCGUAAUCAACCUGCCCUUCAGAGGGGGACAACAGUUGGAAACGACUGCUAAUACCGCAUACUUCAGGAGGGGAUUGCGUCUGAUUAGCUAGUUGGCGGGGUAACGGCCCCCCAAGGCGAUGAUCAGUAGCCGGUCUGAGAGGAGGAACGGCAACAUUGGGACUGAGACACGGCCCAGACUCCUACGGGAGGCAGCAGUGGGGAAGCUUCCGCAAUGGACGAAAGUCUGACGGAGCAACGCCGCGUGAGUGAUGACGGCCUUCGGGUUGUAAAGCUCUGUUAAGCGGGACGCGGUACCGGAAGAGAAAGCCACGGCUAACUACGUGCCAGCAGCAGCGGUAAUUC
This 408-nucleotide ribosomal RNA is filed under the name uncultured bacterium. Its description in RNAcentral is "partial 16S ribosomal RNA". It matches the Rfam family "Bacterial small subunit ribosomal RNA", at positions 28 to 526 of the family's 1533-position model. The record is from RNAcentral.